AAGCUAGAAAUGUUGUGUAACAGAAGAAAAAAUAAACGCAUGGUUCUUGGAACUUAGCGUGUGUUGUACAUGGUUCUUUUCCUCAUUGUUUUCUUCUUAUUAGUAUUAAAAUAUGCAGAUCUCCAUGUAUUCAAGAAAACAAAAUAAACCAAGAAGCUACUGUAGUACAUCCGACAAAAGUGGCAAACAACAAGCAAGACAAGAUUAUCCCUGAUGAUGAUUAACUGUUUACCAACUCAAAGUGCACCAGACUGCAUCGGAUUAAAAUUGCGAGUUGGGCUUCCUGCACGGCUUCGUCCUGGAAGAUUCUCCACUUGGUAAGUCAGUAACUCAGAUUACGUUCAGCCUCUUUCUCUUUUCAUUUUCCUGAUGAGAACAUAGCAUUGUGGUUAGCACCAUAAAAAAACAGAAUAGUAAGCAAUCCAUGAAGGAAAUUUCUAUUUUAACCUAUGGAUGAUCAUAUCUAUCUAUCUAAGUGAAAAGUAAAACUCAAAAAGCAACCAGAAUUAGCCACAUCAUCCGUCAAAUAAUAGCCGUUGGAUUCACAAAAUGAUAAAAUAGCAAGGAAAAAUCCUAGCCAUUGAAAUGAGGAAUCUUCUAGAAGUGGUAAAAUACAUAGAGAAGGAAGAGUUUGAGCCACUCAUUGCCUCUCAUUGUAAUCUCAUGUUGGCCUCCCAAACAGGCUUGGCUUGGCCAAUCAACCCAAACGGUCCUUAGACUAGAUGACUAAUUAAAUAAUUUUAGAAAAUUAACAUCUAAUUAUUGAUUUAACUGAAUGGUGGAAAUUUUAUUGUUAAUUACAAUAACGAUUAAUAGAUAGGAAGGUUAUUGUCGCGCGAACGUGCGACUUCAUUCACUAGUUAUUGUGAAAAGGUUGCAAUAUCAAGUCUUUGAUUCUCUAGCCCAUAGGACAUGGAUUAUAUAUGCUCUAUCUCAAAAUUCAAACCAACAACCAAACAAUAUCCCCUUUUGUUUUGGAUUGCCUAAGGUUGACAAAGGGAUUAAUUCUACACUAUGGUGAGUUGGUGAUGGUAACAUCAGUUUUGCUUUUUUUUUAACCUUUUCUCUCUUCCAAAGUACUUUUCAGAAGUCUAAAAGGUUAAAAGAGCAUGGGAGAAUAACAUGUACAUGGAAAAUCACACCUAAAAAUUAAGAAAAUAUAUUAUUACUUGAACCAUCAGUGGUAUGAGAUAGAAAAUGUUAUCUCAAAAAAAGUAUGAAAUAGAAAUGAGAGGAUGAGAUUUUACCAAAUAAUUUCAGCAGAGAUCAAAGCAAGGCAGUUAGAAGCAUACAGAAUGACCCAGUACUUUAAAAGGCAUUAAUUCCUCACCUAAUGGCAGCCGCGAUCUUUCAUGUAGGAACAUUCCCUCUUAGCAUCCUGUAAGUUGACUUCUGUUAAGCGUUGAUGUGGACUUCUUAUUACAGUGAAUAAUAUUUGCCUGCUUUGUUCAGUGAAUUGACCUUAGUGGGUGCUGAAUCAGGAGAUCCUACCUAACUGAAUCUGCAAUAAGAAACCCGAUCGCAAGGAACUGUAGUCACAAGAAUUCUUGGCUACUGCCAUCUGUAUCCUCCUCUUAACAGCAGUAGUACAGGAGUGAGCAUACCGAUUAUGUAAACUCAGUUAAGCAUGAAUGAAAUGGAGAACACGUAAAGCACAAUAUAUCCUUUCCUGUUCUCAUAUCUUCCUUAACUGUAUGCCUUUUUUAGUAACAACAAAUCCCAUAUUUUGUGCAUGGCCUUUUUGAGAAUAUUUUUUUCUGACUUUACAUAAAACAUUGCUCUUCAUAUAAGCAUGUGCAAUAAAGAAAUGGACUAUAAGCAUAGGAAGGAAUGUGCAGGCUCCUAGUACUAGGGCACAACACAAUCAUAGGCCUAUAAUUUGCAGUUGAGAAAGCAAGAUCAGGUGGCUAAUGACCCAAUCUGAUGAAAUAGAUUCAUCUAGCUUGCUGCAGCCUCAAACCUCUGAUGCUAGCUAAGAUAGAGACAAGAAUGACAUAUACAUCACAUAUUUUGGCUUGAGCUGCCCCCCACAUUACCCAUCCCAAUCAUUAAAAAACAAAAAGGAGAAUGGCAUAUGGUUCUUACUGUUUGUAGUGGGGCUAUCACAGUAGAACCCCAGAGGCAAACCUUUUUCUUAAAUAAAAAAGAGAUGCAAACGUUUUUCAUUAGAGGUCAGUUUUAGUUGACUUUUGAUUUUCUCUACCCCCAUCUUUAUUUUGUAUUGUUGAGAAGGUAUCAACUGUGCUCCAUAUUACAAAAGCAUCAAGCAUACUGGCAAAGGUACCCGCCUUUAUUGGCAAGUAAACCUAGAGAAAAGCACACUCACCUCAAAUGAGGAAAAAAAAGAUUAUAGUUUCCAUACUGGUUUAGUAGCAUUCAUUCACAUAGCUAAACAUGUAAACAGGACCAAUUUCACUAGGAAAUAUUGUAUCAUGGCUGAGACAAUUUCUUUUUACACAAAAUCAGGAACAUUUCUGAUUUGUAUUUCACCACUGUACUCUUCUUAUUGAUGUGGGGAGUAUUUCCUUUUUUACAAAAGAAAAAGAAUCAGAUGGUGUUCCUAAUAAGCGCCUAGACUAAUUCAAGGGUUUGCAUUUAGCAGUUGAUUUAACUGUAGCAGCAACACGGUAAGAACAUUUGUUGCAAGUUAGUAUCUGUACCUUCAUGAAGAGUGCACCACGUUCAUGCUGCAACCUGCAAGUGGACUUUCAUUUCUACCUGAUUUGGUUCCCAUAUCCAUGUUGAUUUGGUGUCGACACCUGAUAGAUAUUUCUAUCGAUGUAAUUGUGAUGGUAUACCGACACAAGUUGUGGUAUAUAAUUCUUCCUGCUUUGCUUUCUCCUAAUCUUAGUGCAACGAUGCACAAUUCUUCUAUGUAUUCCCAAAAAACAAUUCUUUCUGCUUUUUCUUCCGCGUCGAAUUUCCUCCAUUGGAAUAAGUUUUCUGUCUUUCUGAAAGUCCACGGAUUUAUGCACGAUACCUCUAGCAAUAACUUAUCAGUUCCAUCUAGCAGUAACUGGAAACUAGAUGUCAAAAGAAAAGCUCAAUGGCCGGACAAUAAGUUUGUUUAUGAUUAUUCCUUGCAUUUUAUCUAAGGUUGUCCCAUACGGAGUUGCACCAAUUUGUGGGCAGAAGGCAGUGGGCAUUAGUACUCCAUGCAAUAAGCAUAGAAAUGCUUGGUGGACACAAAAUGAGAUUAAAAAAGACAGGAAACAACAUUUAUAUAUUAUGGUUCCCUCUCCACUGCCAAAGAUGCAUCAUGAUAAAUCUGUGUGCAAUAUAAAUCGAUCGCCUUAGUUUGCUUGCAUGGGAACUUUAGGCAUCUGUCACCAUGUGUGUAUCUCUGUGUGCAAGGUUUGUCAGCAUUGCAUAGGAUUCUUAGCUCCAGAGAAAAAUGCCUCAAAUCCUUUUUAUCCUGCCCAUCCCUUGAGCAUUCCAGACUCAAGAUGCUCAUCCCAUGACAGCUUGCAGCGAGCACAGUGCGAAAAGCCGCACUGUCCUGCGAUGCAGAUUCAAGGGAUUGUCCGACAUAUAUUCCCUCUUCAGAGCUUCACUAUAAAUACAGACCAACUGGGGUUGUGC
Molecule: long non-coding RNA, 3582 nt
Filed under: Oryza sativa (Asian cultivated rice)
Lineage: Eukaryota; Viridiplantae; Streptophyta; Magnoliopsida; Poales; Poaceae
Description: long non-coding RNA (OSAT_LNC000705)
Source: RNAcentral